GACGAACGCUGGCGGCGUGCUUAACACAUGCAAGUCGAGCGGUAAGGCCCUUUCGGGGGUACGACGAGCGGCGAACGGGUGAGUAACACGUGGGUGACCUCGCCCUCAGCUCUGGGAUAAGCCUGGGAAACCGGGUCUAAUACUGGAUAUGACUCCAUGACGCAUGUUGGUGGGGUGGAAAGCCUUGUGCGGCUGAGGAUGGGCCCGCGGCCUAUCAGCUUGUUGGUGGGGUGANGGCCUACCAAGGCGACGAC
Molecule: ribosomal RNA, 254 nt
Filed under: uncultured bacterium
Lineage: Bacteria
Description: partial 16S ribosomal RNA
Rfam family: Bacterial small subunit ribosomal RNA
Source: RNAcentral